GACGAACGCUGGCGGCGUGCCUAAUACAUGCAAGUAGAACGCACAGUAUAUACCGUAGCUUGCUACACCAUAGACUGUGAGUUGCGAACGGGUGAGUAACGCGUAGGUAACCUGCCUGGUAGCGGGGGAUAACUAUUGGAAACGAUAGCUAAUACCGCAUAAUAUUAAUUAUUGCAUGAUAAUUGAUUGAAAGAUGCAACUGCAUCACUACCAGAUGGACCUGCGUUGUAUUAGCUAGUAGGUGAGGUAACGGCUCACCUAGGCGACGAUACAUAGCCGACCUGAGAGGGUGAUCGGCCACACCGGGACUGAGACACGGCCCAGACUCCUACGGGAGGCAGCAGUAGGGAAUCUUCGGCAAUGGACGAAAGUCUGACCGAGCAACGCCGCGUGAGUGAAGAAGGUUUUCGGAUCGUAAAGCUCUGUUGUAAGAGAAGAACGGGUGUGAGAGUGGAAAGUUCACACUGUGACGGUAUCUUACCAGAAAGGGACGGCUAACUACGUGCCAGCAGCCGCGGUAAUACGUAGGUCCCGAGCGUUGUCCGGAUUUAUUGGGCGUAAAGCGAGCGCAGGCGGUUAGAUAAGUCUGAAGUUAAAGGCUGUGGCUUAACCAUAGUACGCUUUGGAAACUGUUUAACUUGAGUGCAGAAGGGGAGAGUGGAAUUCCAUGUGUAGCGGUGAAAUGCGUAGAUAUAUGGAGGAACACCGGUGGCGAAAGCGGCUCUCUGGUCUGUAACUGACGCUGAGGCUCGAAAGCGUGGGGAGCGAACAGG
This 773-nucleotide ribosomal RNA is filed under the name uncultured Streptococcus sp. RNAcentral's name for it is "bacterial SSU rRNA". It matches the Rfam family "Bacterial small subunit ribosomal RNA", at positions 28 to 776 of the family's 1533-position model. Lineage: Bacteria; Bacillati; Bacillota; Bacilli; Lactobacillales; Streptococcaceae. The record is from RNAcentral.